Molecule: long non-coding RNA, 384 nt
Filed under: Androctonus crassicauda
Lineage: Eukaryota; Metazoa; Arthropoda; Arachnida; Scorpiones; Buthidae
Source: RNAcentral
UUUUUUGUGUUUUUGAGACAUGGUCUCAUCAUGUAAAUCUGCCUGUUCUGGAAAAUAUUGUGUGAACCAGGCUGGCUUGGAACUCAGAGAUCCACCUGACUCAGCCUCCCGAGCUCUGGGGUGAAAUGUGUGUGCCACCUCUUCCAUCCCCAAAUGGUUUUCUUUUAAGGCCAGAGGGUGUGUUGUCAUAUAGAAAUCCCACAUUCCAGGUCUGAUGUUUCCUCCUUUAGCCCACCGGCUUUCAAGGGCAAUUUUAUAUUUUGUGCUGAUGUGGCAUUUCCCUCCUGCCUGUAGUGUGCCUCCUUCCACUGCCACCUGAAGGGAGGGCCGAACCAGCUUGGAGGAGGGGAAGGGGCUCCCCAAAGAAGCAGCAUCACAUUGGAU